UGGGAUGUAGCUCAGGGGCAAAGCAUUUGCCUUACAUUUGUAAAGCCUUGGGUUUGAUCCCAAUGUUCCAA
Molecule: non-coding RNA, 71 nt
Organism: Ictidomys tridecemlineatus (thirteen-lined ground squirrel)
Lineage: Eukaryota; Metazoa; Chordata; Mammalia; Rodentia; Sciuridae
Source: Rfam